GGGUUGUGAGGUUAAGCGACUAAGCGUACACGGUGGAUGCCCUGGCAGUCAGAGGCGAUGAAGGGCGUGCUAAUCUGCGAUAAGCGCCGGUAAGGUGAUAUGAACCGUUAUAACCGGCGAUACCCGAAUGGGGAAACCCAGUGUGACUCGUCACACUAUCAUUAACUGAAUCCAUAGGUUAAUGAGGCGAACCGGGGGAACUGAAACAUCUAAGUACCCCGAGGAAAAGAAAUCAACCGAGAUUCCCCCAGUAGCGGCGAGCGAACGGGGAGGAGCCCAGAGCCUGAAUCAGCAUGUGUGUUAGUGGAAGCGUCUGGAAAGGCGCGCGAUACAGGGUGACAGCCCCGUACACAAAAGCGCAUGUGCUGUGAGCUCGAUGAGUAGGGCGGGACACGUGGUAUCCUGUCUGAAUAUGGGGGGACCAUCCUCCAAGGCUAAAUACUCCUGACUGACCGAUAGUGAACCAGUACCGUGAGGGAAAGGCGAAAAGAACCCCGGCGAGGGGAGUGAAAAAGAACCUGAAACCGUGUACGUACAAGCAGUGGGAGCACCCUUCGGGGUGUGACUGCGUACCUUUUGUAUAAUGGGUCAGCGACUUAUAUUCUGUAGCAAGGUUAACCGUAUAGGGGAGCCGUAGGGAAACCGAGUCUUAAUUGGGCGUUAAGUUGCAGGGUAUAGACCCGAAACCCGGUGAUCUAGCCAUGGGCAGGUUGAAGGUUGGGUAACACUAACUGGAGGACCGAACCGACUAAUGUUGAAAAAUUAGCGGAUGACCUGUGGCUGGGGGUGAAAGGCCAAUCAAACCGGGAGAUAGCUGGUUCUCCCCGAAAGCUAUUUAGGUAGCGCCUCGUGAAUUCAUCUCCGGGGGUAGAGCACUGUUUCGGCUAGGGGGCCAUCCCGGCUUACCAACCCGAUGCAAACUGCGAAUACCGGAGAAUGUUAUCACGGGAGACACACGGCGGGUGCUAACGUCCGUCGUGAAGAGGGAAACAACCCAGACCGCCAGCUAAGGUCCCAAAGUCAUGGUUAAGUGGGAAACGAUGUGGGAAGGCCCAGACAGCCAGGAUGUUGGCUUAGAAGCAGCCAUCAUUUAAAGAAAGCGUAAUAGCUCACUGGUCGAGUCGGCCUGCGCGGAAGAUGUAACGGGGCUAAACCAUGCACCGAAGCUGCGGCAGCGACGCUUAUGCGUUGUUGGGUAGGGGAGCGUUCUGUAAGCCUGUGAAGGUGUGUCGUGAGGCAUGCUGGAGGUAUCAGAAGUGCGAAUGCUGACAUAAGUAACGAUAAAGCGGGUGAAAAGCCCGCUCGCCGGAAGACCAAGGGUUCCUGUCCAACGUUAAUCGGGGCAGGGUGAGUCGACCCCUAAGGCGAGGCCGAAAGGCGUAGUCGAUGGGAAACGGGUUAAUAUUCCCGUACUUGGUGUUACUGCGAAGGGGGGACGGAGAAGGCUAUGUUGGCCGGGCGACGGUUGUCCCGGUUUAAGCGUGUAGGUGUGUGUUCCAGGUAAAUCCGGUUCACUUUAACACUGAGGCGUGACGACGAGGCACUACGGUGCUGAAGCAACAAAUGCCCUGCUUCCAGGAAAAGCCUCUAAGCAUCAGGUAACAUCAAAUCGUACCCCAAACCGACACAGGUGGUCAGGUAGAGAAUACCAAGGCGCUUGAGAGAACUCGGGUGAAGGAACUAGGCAAAAUGGUGCCGUAACUUCGGGAGAAGGCACGCUGACACGUAGGUGAAGUGAUUUACUCACGGAGCUGAAGUCAGUCGAAGAUACCAGCUGGCUGCAACUGUUUAUUAAAAACACAGCACUGUGCAAACACGAAAGUGGACGUAUACGGUGUGACGCCUGCCCGGUGCCGGAAGGUUAAUUGAUGGGGUCAGCGCAAGCGAAGCUCCUGAUCGAAGCCCCGGUAAACGGCGGCCGUAACUAUAACGGUCCUAAGGUAGCGAAAUUCCUUGUCGGGUAAGUUCCGACCUGCACGAAUGGCGUAAUGAUGGCCAGGCUGUCUCCACCCGAGACUCAGUGAAAUUGAACUCGCUGUGAAGAUGCAGUGUACCCGCGGCAAGACGGAAAGACCCCGUGAACCUUUACUAUAGCUUGACACUGAACAUUGAGCCUUGAUGUGUAGGAUAGGUGGGAGGCUUUGAAGCGUGGACGCCAGUCUGCGUGGAGCCGACCUUGAAAUACCACCCUUUAAUGUUUGAUGUUCUAACGUGGACCCGUAAUCCGGGUUGCGGACAGUGUCUGGUGGGUAGUUUGACUGGGGCGGUCUCCUCCUAAAGAGUAACGGAGGAGCACGAAGGUUGGCUAAUCCUGGUCGGACAUCAGGAGGUUAGUGCAAUGGCAUAAGCCAGCUUGACUGCGAGCGUGACGGCGCGAGCAGGUGCGAAAGCAGGUCAUAGUGAUCCGGUGGUUCUGAAUGGAAGGGCCAUCGCUCAACGGAUAAAAGGUACUCCGGGGAUAACAGGCUGAUACCGCCCAAGAGUUCAUAUCGACGGCGGUGUUUGGCACCUCGAUGUCGGCUCAUCACAUCCUGGGGCUGAAGUAGGUCCCAAGGGUAUGGCUGUUCGCCAUUUAAAGUGGUACGCGAGCUGGGUUUAGAACGUCGUGAGACAGUUCGGUCCCUAUCUGCCGUGGGCGCUGGAGAACUGAGGGGGGCUGCUCCUAGUACGAGAGGACCGGAGUGGACGCAUCACUGGUGUUCGGGUUGUCAUGCCAAUGGCACUGCCCGGUAGCUAAAUGCGGAAGAGAUAAGUGCUGAAAGCAUCUAAGCACGAAACUUGCCCCGAGAUGAGUUCUCCCUGAGACUUAGAGUCUCCUGAAGGAACGUUGAAGACGACGACGUUGAUAGGCCGGGUGUGUAAGCGCAGCGAUGCGUUGAGCUAACCGGUACUAAUGAACCGUGAGGCUUAACCUUACAACGCCGAAG
Molecule: ribosomal RNA, 2927 nt
Filed under: Salmonella enterica
Lineage: Bacteria; Pseudomonadati; Pseudomonadota; Gammaproteobacteria; Enterobacterales; Enterobacteriaceae
Description: bacterial LSU rRNA
Rfam family: Bacterial large subunit ribosomal RNA
Source: RNAcentral